UCUUGGUGUAGCAGUGCGGACGUGUUUGUUGUCCCGUGUAAAUGUUGUUUUUUCUCUUUUUUGUAUAUAUUUCACUCUUUUUCCAUUUUCAAAUUAAAUAUACCUUCCGGCAACCCACCUCACCCAACGUGAGACGGAUCUGCUAUUUUUAGACCUUAUAGCUAGAACCUCCAUCAGAAGCUAGCCAGCAAAUUAUCUACUAGCUAUUUAGUCAUUGUUAUCCACUGCUAGCGGCCUUUACCUUUAGCUCAGACACCAGCCGCUUUUAGACUGGAUAAUACCUGCCAGUCUGCACAGCACGAUAUCAACCCUGAGCAUAUUGGACUGCUUUUCUCCACUACAUCACCGGAUUCCUGCCAUUAGCUCUGGACCAUUACACCGGAUCAUCACAGCUAGCUAGCUGCUACCGAGUGGCCCAGCCCCGAAGCUAGCCUUGAGCCAGUCCCAAUGAUCACUCGACUACACAGCUGAUGCCUCCCGGACUCUUACCGGACUCUUCACUAACACGACUAGAAGCCACUACAUCACCGGAUUCCUGCUGUCGCAGUUGAAAAUGAGUACUUGUUCUCAACUGGCCUACCUGGUUAAAUAAAGAGGAACGCUCCAACUGCCAAAAAAAUGACCUUACAUCCAAGCCUGUCACUGCUACACUAGCAGCUGCUCCCUCACAUCUGACCCUGGACUAUACCUGCUGCUUUCUCCUAUAGGGGAGAGAGGGGGUGUUGUGUAUCCCAGGAAAUAAUCAAAAUUAAUGUAAGUGUUACAGUUUUGAAAACCAAGCUUGUCGGUCUCUUGGCACAACUUACCAGAGUAUGGGGUAAAUAGCGCCACUGGACAGGACCAUGACUUUUUCCUAAAUAUUGGGUCAAAUUAGGCAUGGGUCCUCAGAUUUGGCGUGGGUCCUCAGAUCCUCAAAAGGUUCUACAGCUGCACCAUUGAGAGCAUCCUGACAGGUUGCAUCACUGCCUGGUAUGGCAAUUGCUCAACCUCCAACCGCAAGGCACUACAGAGGGUAGUGCGUACGGCCCAGUACAUCACUGGGGCCAAGCUUCCUGCCAUCCAGGACCUCUAUACGAGGUGGUGUUAGAGGAAGGCUCUAAAAAUUGUCAAAGACUCCAGACACCCUAGUCAUAGACUGUUCUCUCUGCUACUGCACGGCAAGCGGUACUGGAGCACCAAGUCUAGGUCCAAGAGGCUUCUAAACAGCUUUUACGCCCAAGCCAUAAGACUCCUGAACAUUGAAUCAAAUGUCUACCCAGAUGAUUUGCAUUGCCCCC
RNAcentral lists this long non-coding RNA (1277 nucleotides) under Salmo salar (Atlantic salmon). Its description in RNAcentral is "lncRNA (ENSSSAG00000093262.1)". The record is from RNAcentral. Lineage: Eukaryota; Metazoa; Chordata; Actinopteri; Salmoniformes; Salmonidae.